CAGAGGGGGCAAGCGUUGUUCGGAAUUACUGGGCGUAAAGGGCGCGUAGGCGGCCUGCUAAGUCGAACGUGAAAUCCCCGGGCUCAACCCGGGAACUGCGUCCGAUACUGGCAGGCUUGAAUCCGGGAGAGGGAUGUGGAAUUCCAGGUGUAGCGGUGAAAUGCGUAGAUAUCUGGAGGAACACCGGUGGCGAAGGCGGCAUCCUGGACCGGUAUUGACGCUGAUGCGCGAAAGCCAGGGGGAGCAAACGGGAUUAGAUACCCCGGUAGUCCUGGCCCUAAACGAUGAAUGCUUGGUGUGGCGGGUAUCGAUCCCUGCCGUGCCGAAGCUAACGCAUUAAGCAUUCCGCCUGGGGAGUACGGUCGCAAGGCUG
This 373-nucleotide ribosomal RNA is filed under the name uncultured organism. RNAcentral describes it as "bacterial SSU rRNA". It matches the Rfam family "Bacterial small subunit ribosomal RNA", at positions 526 to 896 of the family's 1533-position model. The record is from RNAcentral.